UUCAAGAGGCAAGAAGGUGGGCAAGACUUGACACAACUCACACAACCAAACACCUCUCCUAAAAAGCUCUUCAGACAAGAUCUCUACAGGUGGGCGUUCCAUCCUCACAGCGGGCAGACCUUGCAUCAUUAGGUCCUGUGGAUAUAAGGAGCUGCAUGACAACCUCUCUUCACUGGAUCCCGUCCAGUUUCUUUGCUCCAAGCGUCCACCUGCAAACCUACAACAUCAAGACCUCCUCCAGAACCUACCUACUCGUCCCACGGUUGUUCUCUGUACUGUCAGUGUCUUCCAGAUUUCCACUUGCCUGCUCACUCUCAGGCACUCACUGUAUCCCCAACAAGAUGUCAACCUGACUGAGCACCUGUUGCCUUUUCACCACCAACUCCACUUCUGAAUAACAAAGAUGACCAAACGUCCUGCACGGGUCACGACACCAACAACAGGGUCUUUACACUUUCGGGCAGUGUGGGGAUGAGGUGUCCAAACACAACAUCCAGGAGAAGUAAAUCAUCUUU
Molecule: long non-coding RNA, 515 nt
Organism: Poecilia latipinna (sailfin molly)
Lineage: Eukaryota; Metazoa; Chordata; Actinopteri; Cyprinodontiformes; Poeciliidae
Exons: 4
Source: RefSeq, a predicted model, not a curated record